AUUGAACGCUGGCGGCAGGCCUAACACAUGCAAGUCGAGCGGAUGAGGGUAGCUUGCUACCUGAUUCAGCGGCGGACGGGUGAGUAAUGCCUAGGAAUCUGCCCGAUAGUGGGGGACAACGUUUCGAAAGGAACGCUAAUACCGCAUACGUCCUACGGGAGAAAGUGGGGGAUCUUCGGACCUCACGCUAUCGGAUGAGCCUAGGUCGGAUUAGCUAGUUGGUGAGGUAAUGGCUCACCAAGGCUACGAUCCGUAACUGGUCUGAGAGGAUGAUCAGUCACACUGGAACUGAGACACGGUCCAGACUCCUACGGGAGGCAGCAGUGGGGAAUAUUGGACAAUGGGCGAAAGCCUGAUCCAGCCAUGCCGCGUGUGUGAAGAAGGUCUUCGGAUUGUAAAGCACUUUAAGUUGGGAGGAAGGGCUGUAGGCUAAUAUCCUGCGGUUUUGACGUUACCAACAGAAUAAGCACCGGCUAACUUCGUGCCAGCCGCCGCGGUAA
Molecule: ribosomal RNA, 500 nt
Filed under: uncultured bacterium
Lineage: Bacteria
Description: partial 16S ribosomal RNA
Rfam family: Bacterial small subunit ribosomal RNA
Source: RNAcentral